This 246-nucleotide long non-coding RNA is filed under the name Notechis scutatus (mainland tiger snake). RNAcentral's name for it is "lncRNA (ENSNSUG00000013727.1)". Lineage: Eukaryota; Metazoa; Chordata; Lepidosauria; Squamata; Elapidae. The record is from RNAcentral.
GUUAGCAGUUUCAGAUGAUCAGCUACCAUCUAAAAACAACAAAUCAAAAAUCUCUACGGAAUGGAGCAGCGUGUCUCAGCUGAGAUUUUCUGAUGACUCAGUAAGACUGAGACCCAAUAAGAGUGGAAAGCUACAGAGGCCUAGAUCAGAGUUUCAGUGGAACCGAUCUUCUUCACCCCCUACUCCCCCACUUCCCGAGAGAACUCCUGAAUCAUUUCUUCUUGCAGAUGAGGAGCGUAAGUCCCA